Molecule: long non-coding RNA, 1849 nt
Organism: Aethalodelphis obliquidens (Pacific white-sided dolphin)
Lineage: Eukaryota; Metazoa; Chordata; Mammalia; Artiodactyla; Delphinidae
Exons: 2
Source: RefSeq, a predicted model, not a curated record
CUUGUGACGUCGCCCGCCUCUUCCGGUGACCAGGCGCGGGCGCGCUGGCGACUGCCGAGCCCCUUUGGGGCGGAGCCCGGCGCCGUGCGCCGCAGCGGCGGCGGGAUAAAAUGGAAAGGAACCUUACUCUCAAAGAAGCGCUGCGGCAGUUGUCGUUCUGCAGACCUGCGGCCGGACUCCGGCGCUUUUCAGAGUCGGCCAGCCCCGCGCGCGACCUAGCCCGGUACCCCUGGAGCCGCGCGUGGCUGCGAGGUCGCUGCUCUUACUACAGGGGUGCGUUUCAUGCUUGGCCGAGCAUCGGGCGAUGCACACCAGGGACCCCCUUGGAUACAGACUCCGUGACCGUCAGAGAGUUUUAGCGGAUCCGAGAGUGACUGCCGUUUACCGAGCACUUUGUGUAAGAAAGCACGCACUGAGAUGAGUGCUUUCAGUAAUUAACCAUAUUCUUUUUUAAUCCUGUGAAGUCGGAAUUAUUUAGCUUAUUUUACAGAUGAGGACAUUACGUGCCUACAAAAAGCUCAGUAAGCAUUUCAUCACGGAGACAGGGGCUUGUGUUUAAAUCAGAAGGGUUUCUAAAGAAGAGGGACCUUUCCCCAGGUGGAAUUGUCUCUCCUUGGUUAUGCUGCAGAGUACUUGCUACUUUUUGGUGCUUUUUCAUUCUUCCUUGUAGAUUAACUUGUUGUUUAUAUGUCUUCCUUUUGUAAGCUUUUGAAAAUUGGAACCCAGUCUUGUUCAUCUCUUCAGGAUGCUUGCUUAUUCAAUCAGCACGCAUUUACCAAGCACUGAAGGAGGGCAGGGAUUGUGCUGAGUGCUGAGGCUUCAGUGGUGAACCCUUGAACCAGACAAGUAAAAAGACAAUCAGAACAACUGUUAAAUACUAAGAUGGAGUUAGUUCUGCCGGAACACCCAUGGAAGGGUGGGGGGAGCAGGUUGAGAGAAAAACGUGGCCUGUUAGGGACUGCAAAUAGUUCAGGAUGGCUACAGUGGAGAGUGGUGAGGUGCGUGUAGAGGAGGGAACAGGCAAACUUCUUCUAUAAGGGGGCAGAAAAUAAAUAUUUUAGGUUUUGUGGGACAUCCCUUGUUGCUGAACCGAACUGGGCUCCGCGUGUCCUACCUGAAGCCAAGCUGAUCUACUGACAACUGGGUUGUGGUGAGGGAAAGUACAGGGCGCCAAGCAAGAUGAACAGGCAGCGGAUGAUCAAAAGACCGGAACUCACCUGAUGGCUUUCAGGCAAGAGUUUUUAAAGGCAACACUACAGUCUGGGGGUCUGUGUGCUUGUGGUCAAGGUGUGUUCAACAUCCUCUGCCUGGUUGGGGAUCUUAGUUUCUUCAGAACAACUCAAAGAUAUGCAUCAGAUUGUUAUCUAUAUCCCUUCAGGAGAGCUAGGAGUUCUGUGGCUAUUGUUCUAAUCAUUAACUGCUUGAGUCUGCUCUGGAACUCAUGGAAGGCCAAGCAAGAAGCAGGGGAUAUGAAAAGUUUGUACCCAGGAAGGCCUCACAGGGUCCUGCUUUGUUUCAGUCCCACUUUUCUUUGAUACUCCUCAAUCCUGAGGGGAACAGGGACGGGACAAGAAAGGGAAUAAGUUUUGGACAAGAGAGGUUAAUCAUAAACUUGGCAGGGAAACUCGGUUUUAGGAGGACUGGGUUUCAUCCUUGACCUUAGGAGGUCACAGCUGCUCACCUUGUAGCUGAAAAGCAGCCAUAGACCAUAUGAAUGGCAGGGGUGGGGGAGGUGUGUUCCAAUAAAACUUUAUGGAUGCUGAGGUUUGAAUUUCAUGUAGUUGUCAGUGUUAUGAAAUAUCAUUCAUCUUCUGAUUUUUUUCAACCAUUAAAAAAUGUAAAAACCUUA